UACGUAGGGUGCGAGCGUUAAUCGGAAUUACUGGGCGUAAAGCGUGCGCAGGCGGUUUUGUAAGCCAGAUGUGAAAUCCCCGGGCUUAACCUGGGAAUGGCAUUUGGGACUGCAAGGCUGGAGUGUGGCAGAGGAGACUGGAAUUCCUGGUGUAGCAGUGAAAUGCGUAGAUAUCAGGAGGAAUACCGGUGGCGAAGGCGGGUCUCUGGGCAGUAACUGACGCUGAGGAGCGAAAGCGUGGGGAGCGAACAGG
Molecule: ribosomal RNA, 253 nt
Filed under: uncultured bacterium
Lineage: Bacteria
Description: partial 16S ribosomal RNA
Rfam family: Bacterial small subunit ribosomal RNA
Source: RNAcentral